This 366-nucleotide ribosomal RNA is filed under the name uncultured Glomus. RNAcentral's name for it is "SSU rRNA". It matches the Rfam family "Eukaryotic small subunit ribosomal RNA", at positions 569 to 940 of the family's 1831-position model. Lineage: Eukaryota; Fungi; Glomeromycota; Glomeromycetes; Glomerales; Glomeraceae. The record is from RNAcentral.
AGCAGCCGCGGUAAUUCCAGCUCCAAUAGCGUAUAUUAAAGUUGUUGCAGUUAAAAAGCUCGUAGUUGAAUUUCGGGGUCAGUAGGUCGGUCGUGCCACUGGUAUGAACUGGUUUUACUGAUUCCUCCCUCUUGAAGAACUGUAAUGCCAUUAAUUUGGUGUUGCAGGGAAUCAGGACUGUUACUUUGAAAAAUUAGAGUGUUUAAAGCAAGCUAACGCUUAAAUACAUUAGCAUGGAAUAAUGAAAUAGGACGUUCGAUCCUAUUUUGUUGGUUUCUAGGAUUGACGUAAUGAUUAAUAGGGAUAGUUGGGGGCAUUAGUAUUCAAUUGUCAGAGGUGAAAUUCUUGGAUUUAUUGAAGACUAAC